CGUCGGAUACGAUAAUUGUUUUCUCACUUUAUGAUCUUCCGAACAAGUCAAUGACGUAUGGGACCAGCUACCCGUGGGGGCCGCCGGUCGGAGGCAGCCACGCUCGCUCGUCCGCGUCACGCCUCUACCGACCAUGGUGAAAACCCUAGAGCAAUCGCGAGCGAAUCCUGAGCCUCCUCCCAUCCCCAAUCGGUCGCCUCCGCUCCUCGCCCAAUCCCCGUCUCCUCUCCCCGCCGCCAAUCAGCCUGGCACCCGGCGGCUGUGGCGGCGCCCUGCUGCCGAAGACGGAAGGGAGUGGUCGGCGCCCCGGUGUCUCCUCUGCGCGCGGAGAGGCGGCGACCUGGCGGCUGGCGAGGCGCGGUGGCGGCCUCGGCGGCGGGCGCGGCGAGGUGAGGUGGUUUCCGGGCCGGCGUGGCAUGCUGUGCUGACCGGCGGCGGAGGGGGCGGUCGGCUCGCUUCUGGAGGAGGCUGCGCCCUGGCGGGCUCGAUCUGGGCCUCACGGGGCCGGUCUGGGCGGACGGAGCAGCGCUCGAACGACCGAGGCGGCUGGACGCAGGGCCGAUGGCGGCAGGGAGUGUGCUGAGCAGCGGCGGCUGGAAGCAUGCUGAGCAGCGGUGGUGGCUUGAGGUGGACAAGGUUUGAGGUGGUUUUGUAUAUCUAAUCCUGCUUAUUUUCCCUGAAUUUUCGUAGUGGUUGCAGCGAGCACAAGAAAACUGAGUUCGCCAGCUUCAUAUGGUGCUACCUCUGGUAAAUCUCAUCUUCAUAUCGUUUGUUAAUUUCCGCCGUGUUUAUGAUAGUUGUGGUUGUUUUUGCCAGUGGCGAGCAUAUGAAGUAUUGUAAGAUCCAGACCGUACAGAUGAGAUGGUGAUUCUAGAAGAAAUCCUCUAACAGUCUCGAUGCCUCAUUCUGAUUUUAUUUAUCUGAGAGCGAGGAAUGUGUUUGUGUGUGAUGCUUGUGAUCUUGCAUGAUUUGAAUGUUCAGCUCAUGUCUCUAAAUCUCCACUGAGGUCCGGUAUUGUAUCCAAGAUCUGCUACGUGUCCUGUUGGUAGCUACUACUAAAUUAUCAUAUCAUGCAUAUGUUGCUUUACGAUUUGAGCCAAGUUCGGUGCAACUAUAAGGGCAGAGAAGAACCAAUGUUUAGUUCAUACAACCCUGGCUGACAAUGUUUAAUGGAUUUUUAUGUUCCAUUUGGUGUUAGCUUCCCUAAUUCUGUUCUUCUCUUCGGCAGAGUGUUACAGACGAGGAUGCUUCUUAUUCAUUUCCUUCACCAAAUUAACCAAACCUUUUUAUUCUAAGCUUUUUUCAUUUCCUGCUUACCUAUUCUUGCGUGUAAUAACUGUUGCAUUCCGAUAAAGAACGUAAGGAAGUUGCACAUUAUCUGUGGUCGCCCCGCCAAGGAGAGCUGAGUGUACAUAUAUUUCUCUCCUCUGCUCAGUGCUUGAGUCUAACUCAUAAUGUUAAUUUGUUUGAUUUCAGGUUCAGCCAAGAGUGAAAGUUAAUUGAAGAGUAUGUUCGCACGAGGGUCGAAAACCCCUGGUAAAUGUAAUUUAAUCACUCUAUUGAUUUGGUACGUUUCUUGCAUUCCAAGGUUUUAAAAAACUGCAAGGAUUUUAGAGUUCUUGGUGCCUGGGUGGUUGUGUAGGAUUUGGGAGGUAACCCCUCAGAAACAUUUCAACCGUAUGGUACAUUUGGCUUUACAGCUGCAGAACAUGCUCAGGAACAAUCAUCCAAGAAAAAAGAAAGAGAAGUUAGCAUCAUUUUAUCUGCAACUCACCCAAUUUUACAGUACUCCAUAGAUCAUGAGACUAAUUUAGUUUCAUGGUGGUCAAUGAACUCUCUUGGUUGUUAACUAUAUUUGAUAUUCCGCUUAUUUGGCAAAAGUAUUUGAUACACAAAGGAUGUUCUUUGCUGCAAUAUGAAUAGCCUAUAUUUUGAUAUUUCACUUGUUUGGCAAGAGUAUUUGAUACACUAGGAUUGGAUAGCCAAGCACUUGAGUACAUAUUUGGGGUUUUGCUUAAUACUUCCUCAUGGCCUGUUCAGGAGGAAAAUUCUAUAGGGCUUUCCUUUGUAUGUUAUUUCCUGUCAAAUUCAUGCAUUUUGUUAUUCUAAUUUUUCUAUACAUCCGGCAUCACAUUGGCCACAGGUAGCGCGGGCAGAGUUUGGGGAAAUGAGAACUUCAGGCAGAUUCCAAUGCAUAGUAGAAGUUCAAGGCUCUGGUUUUAAUGCUGUAUAAAAACAAAGCAAAAGGAUGAUCUGGUUUUUCCUGCAACUUAGUUUCUACUUCGUUUGUACUUUUUUUUGAAAUAACACUUCUUAACUGAUUAAAAUUGUUACAGUACUAUCUCGCUUUUGCCUCUGCAUUGGGGCGCACCAGUCAUAGGACAAUGCCGAUGAACAUUAGAAUAGAAGGCAACGACCCUGCCCUCUUUGCGGCAAGGCUCAUCGAAACAAUCAGUCGAGACCAAGGCCUUCGACCCAUGGCGCUGCUCACAAGGCUGUGGAUACAGGGGGUGUGAAGAGAGGUAACUUGGCGUAUUUUUCUACUAAUUGAGCAGUGCAUAGAUGAUGAAGGAAGGCUGACAGCGAGGAGGCCAAAUAGUCCUGCAGCGGUUCAUACAUCGGAGGCUCCUGCAACUGGAAGAAAAGUUUCUUGAAUAGGCUGUUGGCAAGGUGCUUACCUUAACGGAGAGUUGACAGGAAUAGCCUUCCGUGCCCCAGCUGUUGAUAAUUUUGUUGUUGAUCUGACCGUGAGACUUGAGAAGGCAGCCACCUAUGAGCAGAUUAAGGUUGCGAGCAAUGUAUAUGGUUGUAGAUUCAGUAUUGCGUAAAAUGGAUGGUUGUCUCUGAUGAUGAGUACUGAUCUUCUAACAACUUUGCAUGGAGGAGUCUGAGGGCAAGCUCAAGGGCAUGGGUUGCAAGGUGUAUAUAUUUUGGGUCUCACAUGGGAAGGAAAAUAAGCGUAAAAUGCAAAUGAACACCUAGAGUUGCUUCUGCAUGUACUUUUUUUCAAUGCAAACUACAGUCACUUGACAAAUUUUCAUAAUUAUUUUGUCAUGGAACUGGUUCUGCCGGUUCCACUGGCCAGCACAUUUUUGGUUUGUGGGACAAACAUGUUUGUUCAAAUUCCCAAAGGGUUUGAUGCCGAACUGUUCAUAUAAUCUUGCACUUAUUUUUGUAGUUAGAUAAUGAUUAUUCUCAUACAUUAGUUUAAGAACACUGAUUUUUUUGGGAAGCUUUGUCAUUAAAUUAAUCUUGGUUUCGUCUUCAUGUCAUGCAGAGUUGUAUGGAGUGUCGAGGACUUGUAGCUUGGGGUGGCCACAGGUUGCAGGGUAUCGUGAUGUGCUGGAUAUGUUCUUCAGAGAACAGGUGAUGUACGAACGACAGGUCCUGAAUUACACACUUCUAAAUUUUGAGGGAUUUUUUUCUUUGCAAGCAUUCUUAACCCCCUGUUGAUUCUCAGUACUUAAUUUACUGCAGCAUGUCUUAGGCUCACGAUUUCAAACUAAGAACCAUUUUUGCUGAUGUAGGCAUUGCUCAGCCUUUGUUUCUGUUCCAUAGUACUACUUCCACCUUAUGAUGUUAAAGUUAAUUAUGACUAUGUCUAAAUCGUUUUCUUGGUAGAGAUAGGCUUGUAUCAUUUAUCACGGAGACUCUGGCUCAUCACUGGUUUCAUCGCCUUCUUUACUUAUCCAUUUCUAAUUUCGACUCAAAGAAGUGAGGAAAUAGUAGGGGAUUACUGUCAGGGAUUAUAAAUAUAUAUCUAUAUUACAAAAUCUGGUUAAUACAUUAUUUGCCCGCUCUUCUCUUCUGUUAUGCUUAUUUCUUCCUUGACCUGGUUUCCAUCCCUAUCAUCAUAGUUUAUCAUAUUUCACCCCACUAGAUUUCAAGAUGUAUGUUGUUGUUUCUUUCUAAUUAGAUUUGUUACUGCUUCCUUUCAUGAUAUUUUCUUUUGUCUGACCCAGGGCUCAUUGGUUGGUGCCAUGAGCCCAUGAGCUUCCAGGUCAAUUGAUGUACCUGUAGGAUGUUAUUCAUGGUAGUGUGAUUUCUUGCGUAAACCAUGAAACCAUCAGAAGCAGCGAGAGAUAACGGUAAAACAUAGCAGAAAUACCCAAUGUAUAUUUCUUCUGAAAGAUACAACACUAUAUGUAGAAUGGAUCUGUGCUCCUGCAUCAGUAAUUGUAAAACUUGCUUGUCAUCUUGCAAAGCAUGCGAAGUCA
Molecule: non-coding RNA, 4217 nt
Organism: Lolium perenne
Lineage: Eukaryota; Viridiplantae; Streptophyta; Magnoliopsida; Poales; Poaceae
Source: RefSeq, a predicted model, not a curated record